This 1363-nucleotide ribosomal RNA is filed under the name Glutamicibacter arilaitensis. RNAcentral describes it as "bacterial SSU rRNA". It matches the Rfam family "Bacterial small subunit ribosomal RNA", at positions 69 to 1443 of the family's 1533-position model. Lineage: Bacteria; Bacillati; Actinomycetota; Actinomycetes; Micrococcales; Micrococcaceae. The record is from RNAcentral.
AUGAAGCCCAGCUUGCUGGGUGGAUUAGUGGCGAACGGGUGACUAUCACGUGAGUAACCUGCCCCCGACUCUGGGAUAAGCCCGGGAAACUGGGUCUAAUACCGGAUAUUACCUUUGACCGCAUGGUUGUUGGUGGAAAGAUUUAUCGGUGGGGGAUGGACUCGCGGCCUAUCAGCUUGUUGGUGAGGUAAUGGCUCACCAAGGCGACGACGGGUAGCCGGCCUGAGAGGGUGACCGGCCACACUGGGACUGAGACACGGCCCAGACUCCUACGGGAGGCAGCAGUGGGGAAUAUUGCACAAUGGGCGAAAGCCUGAUGCAGCGACGCCGCGUGAGGGAUGACGGCCUUCGGGUUGUAAACCUCUUUCAGUAGGGAAGAAGCGAAAGUGACGGUACCUGCAGAAGAAGCGCCGGCUAACUACGUGCCAGCAGCCGCGGUAAUACGUAGGGCGCAAGCGUUAUCCGGAUUUAUUGGGCGUAAAGAGCUCGUAGGCGGUUUGUCGCGUCUGCCGUGAAAGUCCGAGGCUCAACCUCGGAUCUGCGGUGGGUACGGGCAGACUAGAGUGAUGUAGGGGAGACUGGAAUUCCUGGUGUAGCGGUGAAAUGCGCAGAUAUCAGGAGGAACACCGAUGGCGAAGGCAGGUCUCUGGGCAUUUACUGACGCUGAGGAGCGAAAGCAUGGGGAGCGAACAGGAUUAGAUACCCUGGUAGUCCAUGCCGUAAACGUUGGGCACUAGGUGUGGGGGACAUUCCACGUUUUCCGCGCCGUAGCUAACGCAUUAAGUGCCCCGCCUGGGGAGUACGGCCGCAAGGCUAAAACUCAAAGGAAUUGACGGGGGCCCGCACAAGCGGCGGAGCAUGCGGAUUAAUUCGAUGCAACGCGAAGAACCUUACCAAGGCUUGACAUGUGCCAGACCGCCUCAGAGAUGGGGUUUCCCUUCGGGGCUGGUUCACAGGUGGUGCAUGGUUGUCGUCAGCUCGUGUCGUGAGAUGUUGGGUUAAGUCCCGCAACGAGCGCAACCCUCGUUCCAUGUUGCCAGCACGUAAAGGUGGGGACUCAUGGGAGACUGCCGGGGUCAACUCGGAGGAAGGUGGGGAUGACGUCAAAUCAUCAUGCCCCUUAUGUCUUGGGCUUCACGCAUGCUACAAUGGCCGGUACAAUGGGUUGCGAUACUGUGAGGUGGAGCUAAUCCCUAAAAGCCGGUCUCAGUUCGGAUUGGGGUCUGCAACUCGACCCCAUGAAGUCGGAGUCGCUAGUAAUCGCAGAUCAGCAACGCUGCGGUGAAUACGUUCCCGGGCCUUGUACACACCGCCCGUCAAGUCACGAAAGUUGGUAACACCCGAAGCCGAUGGCCUAACCACC